AUUAAGGCAAUGAUAAGGGGCAGUAAACAGCGCAACUCUGAAGAGAGCCGCCGGAAGGUGCGAGGCGGUGUGCCAGGCUGUUGAAACUCGCCUUUGAGCUGUCUGGGGGAAGGUUAUUACUCUAGAACGGUAGCGCACCGUUAUCGCGUAAAGAGGGCAAAGAAGUGGGGCUACGGCUUGUUACAGCAUACAGCCUUAAUGGUUAUGGAGAGUGAAGCGGACGGCAGUUAUCCGCCACUCAACAGGGUCGUGCUUUGCCAAAAAGGGUGGUACCGCGGGAGAACCUCUCGUCCCUACA
RNAcentral lists this non-coding RNA (298 nucleotides) under anaerobic digester metagenome. RNAcentral describes it as "T-box". It matches the Rfam family "T-box leader". Rfam says of the family: Uncharged tRNA acts as the effector for transcription antitermination of genes in the T-box leader family. The record is from RNAcentral.